UCUACGGUUCGGCGCCAAACACGGAGAAGCAAGCGAAGCAGGGAGCCAUGAUGGAUUGACGAAGUAAGCUGACGUUGGAACAGCAGAGAAAAGCUGCUUGUCAAAGGGUGUAUAAGGAUAUAUGGCAGCUGGCAUCAAGAAAUAAUGACACAAAGAAAUGAAGAAAAGUGUGAAGAAUUGAUGUAUUAUAAUAUUCUGUAAAUACUGUUGGACAAUUUGUUUGUAAUUAUUGUUAAUAAACAGUCUGUAUUGAUUUAUUA
Molecule: long non-coding RNA, 260 nt
Organism: Uloborus diversus
Lineage: Eukaryota; Metazoa; Arthropoda; Arachnida; Araneae; Uloboridae
Exons: 3
Source: RefSeq, a predicted model, not a curated record